This 1158-nucleotide ribosomal RNA is filed under the name Triticum aestivum (bread wheat). Its description in RNAcentral is "partial small subunit ribosomal RNA". Lineage: Eukaryota; Viridiplantae; Streptophyta; Magnoliopsida; Poales; Poaceae. The record is from RNAcentral.
AUGCAUGAUCAAAACCUGAGUAUUCUGAACUGGAAUGUUCAUGGAUUGAAUUGUCCCAAUCGCCGCUCAACCAUCCAAGAGACCAUCACCGCCACGCCUUGCCAUUUAGUCUAUUUGCAGGAGACCAAGCUUGAGCAGAUUGAUUCCUUCAUGGCUUCCUCUCUCGAUGGUCAAAGGCUCAAAAACUUUGCGCAUCAACCUGCCAUUGGUACUCAUGGUGGUAUUCUGUUACUGUGGGAUGAGGACCUUGUUGAGGUUAAGGACAUUAGCACUGGAUCUUUUUUCCUGUCUGCCACAGUCACCAUUACCUGUAACAACACUUCUUUCAAGUUCACAACCGUCUACGGGCCAACCCGAAGCAACCUCAAAGACUCUUUUUUCCAGGAGCUGAUCAGUGAGAAGCCAGCCCCUGGUACUAGAUGGCUGCUUGCCGGUGACUUUAAUCAAAUUUAUCGGGCCAGCGACAAAAACAGAGCUAACAGUAACCGAAGCCGCAUGACACGCUUUCGCAACACCCUCAAUACUUGUCAGCUCAAAGAAAUACACUUGCAGAACAGGAAAUUCACGUGGAGUAAUGAGCAAAGCGCCCCAACACUAAGCAAACUGGACUCUUUUUUCUGCAAUGAAGAGUGGGACAUCGACUUUGACAAUCAUUUGUUGCAUUCCCUCUCCUCAUCCCUCACUGACCACUGCCCUCUCCUACAUGCUAAUGACCAAGGGCCGCCAAAGACAAAGUGUUUCCACUUUGAGAAAUUUUUGAUCAAAAUGCAUGGCUUCAAGGAGAUCGUGCAGGGUGCUUGGAACCAAAAUGUGAACCAUGUAGACCCUUUCCAUAUCUUAUUUCACAAGUUGAAGAAGACCAGCCAAGCCCUCAGAAAAUGGAGCAAGACAAUUUUUGCACACUCCAAGGUGCAACUACACAUGGCUUUGGAGGUCAUCCUUCGCCUGGAUGUGGCACAAGAGCUCAGGCCUCUCAGUGUAGAGGAACGUGAUAUUUGUACGAGGCUCAAGAGGAAGGUUGUCGCCCUGGCUGUCAUGGAACGUGCUCGAAAGAGGCAAAAUUUGAGAAUCACCAUCUCAAAGAUGGUGACGCAAACACCCGCUUCUUUCACUUGCGCGUCAACCACAGAAGAAGAAAGAACUUCAUCCACCGUCUGA